RNAcentral lists this ribosomal RNA (112 nucleotides) under Staphylococcus sp. HMSC055A09. RNAcentral describes it as "partial 16S ribosomal RNA". It matches the Rfam family "Bacterial small subunit ribosomal RNA", at positions 1 to 106 of the family's 1533-position model. The record is from RNAcentral. RNAcentral also lists the same sequence under 1 other name. Lineage: Bacteria; Bacillati; Bacillota; Bacilli; Caryophanales; Staphylococcaceae.
UUUUAUGGAGAGUUUGAUCCUGGCUCAGGAUGAACGCUGGCGGCGUGCCUAAUACAUGCAAGUCGAGCGAACAGACGAGGAGCUUGCUCCUCUGACGUUAGCGGCGGACGGG